CGAGGCAACAGGGAGGGUAUGGGUAGGAGAGGGACGGGCGAGGAAGGAAUCUUCAGGAGAAGGACUAGGGCGGAAUCGGGGAAGGGAAGGAAUGUCCGCUACGGUAGCUGCGGCAUGCUUGCGUUGCUCAGCUAUACUCGUCGGAUGGGGGGGUCUUGCCACCGUAGCUGGACCUCACCUCUUUUCAAAAACAUAGAUCAUGCCUAGUACACUAGAUUUCAAAAAUAGUGAUACACCACCACCACUGGUUCGCUUUCCUCGGACGCCGUUGAUGACGUCACGGUUUGGCCUGUUCCCUCCCAGCCUGGAAUCCAUUCGGCCGGAAUCUCGGAUUCCCCAAAUCUGGAGACAAGUCAGUGGUGGACUCACAUCCUACCCCUUUUCGAAAACCCGCUUACCUUACCGCACCUCCUUCCAAUUGACUCACCACUUCAUGAUAACAAAUAUCUUAGACAUAAACAAAAAAAAAGGAACAGAAUCGAAGCUGAAUAGACAUUCUAUCAAUUUGGGAUUAACAUUCGAUUUAUUGCUUCAGAAAAAAAACAUCCAAGAAAACAAAAUAGUUGACUCUAACAAAAUCGUACUAACAAAAAAACAAACUUAACUAGAAAUAAUUUUAAUGCUAAUAAAUUUACUCUAAUUACAAUAAGAAUGAAAUAUAUAUAUCAACCUCUACCUAAGAGUCGGUUCAAUAAAGUGGGGGUCUUACUAUUGCCCAAUCCAGGGCUUGACUUACAAUCCGCCGUUCCUACCUACACAGAGCUCUUAUGCGGGUGUAUACGAGGGGACGAGCAAAAUGUUGCGUUAAGCGCGCGCUGUCGUCGACGUGUCGUCGCCGUCGCGCUGCUUUGAAUUGUUGAAACCUACCCCACGUUAGCAAACACUCCCUAUGGCAAGUUGAAAUAAGAAUUAAAUUGGAACAACAAAAUAAAUAAUUCUGAACUGAGUUUAAAAAAACCAAACCACAGUGAGAAUAACUAUCAAACAAAAAAAAAAUAUAACAACAAAAAAAAAGGAAUAAGGAUUGAAUAUUAAGUAAAUAAUUGAAGAAUAUAAUAAAAAAAAAGGUAAUAAAUAAGUGAAAUUUUGAAUAACUAAAUGAAUUAAUUAUAAUUAUAUAAAGAAGUAGUAAGUAAUGGAGAUGUCCAAGCAAAAAUGUCGUUCUUCCAUGCGUGCUCAGGCGCGUCUUGCCUGCCGGUGAAAUGUACAACGCCGGGGCUUCACUACGGACUAUCGGACGGCACUUAUGUUUUCUUGAGCAACAAUGAAUCUUUUGUCUGCAUGCGUACAAUAAAUUCUUUUGUUUGGCGGAGGCAAAAAUCCGCAGCGCGGGUGAAUUUUCGGGGCGCUCAGAGUGUUCGAAAAGGCUUAUUUGAGCUGCCCAAUUAGUCACUAUACUACCAAUAUGAUUUCUUUUUUUAAUAAGAUAGGGUUACUUGUGGACCCGGGUGCUUCACGGGUCAGAUUUAACUUCGGGGCUUUUUUGGCCCUCCCUCCAACGGCUAGGCACCAAUUUAUACGGUCGACCGUGUUUCGUCUUUCGGUUCUACGAUGAUUGCGUCCACCCAAAAAUUCACCCUAAUUUUAUCAAAAACAAAAAAAUCACUAACUUGCACUAAUUCUGCAUUCUUUACGCACUCACCUUUACGCGCUUUUAGUUAACGAAUAAAACAAAUAUGGAACCAAACUAUUCUUCGGUUUUUGUAACGACGAACACAAUUUCGAUUUUGUUAUUGUUGAACCGGCACAAACUAUUCGUUGCUAAUGCAGCACAAUGACCGCCCUCACUACCUUUCACUUGACUAGUGAUUCGCUAGCUUUGGCCUAUUACUGAUCGCACCGAUGAAGAUGGUAAAAACUGUCGAUCUACCGUGUGAUCUAUUAACCUUUCCACCUAGCCCAUCACCUCAUCAUUAUUAUAUAACGAUUCUUUAUUACUAUUGGCCCGCACUAUCGGCUGAGAAGCGCAACGGUCUUUCUCGUAAAUAUUCAAAUCUGGCCAGUAAAUAACAACCCCCCUUCUUCUAUCCUGGGUCGUGUCUUGGAUAAGCAAAAAUAUCCCUUGCUACAGUGGGAUACGAAGUGAGCUGUCAUCUGUCAACUUAUUCAUUUAACUUUGACAGAACCAAAAUUAUAAAUUAUUUAUUUGCAAAUUGCAACACGUUUAUCAUAUUCGCGCGUUAUAUUAAUGUUCAUUCCCGAGUAAAUAUCGGACAAAAAACAUAAAAACAUAAAAAAACAACAUAAAAACAUAGAAACCAGGAAGAAGGAUGCAAAAAACACAAACCACCCAGACGGACAGCUCCAGCACGGAAAGAAGGAACCUCCCACGCCGAAGCUAAGUAUUUUGUAUGUUUACUUAAUGGUUUUGCCACAUAAGAAUCCUUUUAUUUUGCAGGUGGCUUUCCCUUGGUCGUCCAGAAAACCUUCGGAAGAGCCCAGAAGUCUUCUGAAACCAUUCCGUUGGACUGACUGACCAAGAAGAGCAGAACACUUCUGUUUUGGAAACAGAAUCAUUCGAAGAAUGGAAGUGGAGAACGACACCAGUAUUUGUCCACAACAAAACUCCGGAUCUGGUACCAGCUACUGGAAGAACAGAGACGGUGAAGGCUGCUCCCUAAACAAACGUUGUAGUCCAAAGUGGGGAAGAACUCACGCCCCAAAGCCGGGCAUACGUGAUUUCAAGAAAGACGGUACUAUUCAUCGAGGUGAGGUUGUGAUUAAGACAUUCCUAGACUUAAGUAUCCCAAUAGUUUUAAGGUUUAAAUUAUAAGAUCAUCGAGUUAAGUCUAGUACGUAAUUUUAGUAUAAGUUCGCAUACACUCGACUAAAUAGCUUCCUGAAGCAAUAAAGACAAAACCGAUACCAA
Molecule: long non-coding RNA, 2869 nt
Organism: Eupeodes corollae
Lineage: Eukaryota; Metazoa; Arthropoda; Insecta; Diptera; Syrphidae
Exons: 2
Source: RefSeq, a predicted model, not a curated record